Long non-coding RNA from Mirounga angustirostris (Northern elephant seal), 1374 nucleotides. RefSeq lists it as uncharacterized. Lineage: Eukaryota; Metazoa; Chordata; Mammalia; Carnivora; Phocidae. The record is from RefSeq and is a predicted model, not a curated record. The transcript has 4 exons.
AAAUCACUUUAUUCUAAUUAAUUCACAAAUGAGAACAUCACAAAAGGUGAUUUAAGGAGGCACACAAAUAUCUGCCCAACCCCAAAUACAAACCAUCUCAAUGAACUUCUAUACAGUAAGAACAACCUUUUUCAUUCCAAUUCUGAAGAAAGCUGUAUUUAAUGAUGAAGGAGAAGCUUAACUGGUGCUUUUACACUUUAUAUAUUCACCAUCAAUUAUAUUUUUAUGCUAAAUUAACUUGGUCAUGAGAGAUGAUUUUCCAUAUCUUCAAUUUGAACUUCUUGAUUAGGCUAAUCCAUUUGCAAAUCUGCAUUGUUUCAGCACCUCGCUGGAACCUUCACAAAGCUUCAGGUCACCCUGGUUCUGGCACACUCCAGAAACUGUUUCAUCUCAUAGUGGCAUGGGCCAAACUGCUGCUGCUGCUGAUAUGCUGGCUGGGUUCCCUGAGGCUCCUGGAGAAUCAGUCAUUGACCAAUUGAUGGGAAGGGCAGAGAGUUUCUAUGAGGUGGAUGGGAGAGAUUAGGAUGGUGCUGAACUACACAGGCAGAAGAGGAAGACUCAAGAGAAGAGACUAUGAAAGAGAAACCAAUAGAAGAAAACAUGGAAUCUGGUGUCAUAGAAGCCAAGGCAAGAAUGAGUUUCAGGAAGGAGAAGUACACGGACAGUAUCACCUUUGAAGAAUUGUAUGGUGACCCUUCUAGGACAGGACUGAGAGCUGUGCGGUUGACAACUUGGCCUGAGGGAAGAAAAAGAGGACACUUACCAGGAUGCUGGCAGCACCGGUGCCACACCACAUCAUUACAGACGCUACAUUCUCCCUUCUCAAUACCUCAUUUCCACCCUAUAUACAUACCAAUAUUUCUUUCAAAGAUAAUAAGGAAGAAGGUAGCUAUUUUAGAGAGCUGGUAGAGUGGGAUGGUUAAGAAUUUGGGCUUUGGGGUAGAUAACCUGUGUUUCUUCUAUCUCAGUUUUAUUACUCAUUAUUUAACAUUUUUGAGCUUAAAUUUUCUCAUCUAUUAAACUCUAAAAACAACAGUACUCUCCUACCCCAUGGGAUAAAUGUGAGGUUUACAUCCAGUCAUUUCCAGAAUCACACCUUUUUAAAGAAAAUACACCUUCAUACAUGGAAGAGGAAGUUGAUGACCUACAAUGUCUAAAGUAUUUUGUGUAUAUUAUAAUGUUUAUUAUUCUUAAAAUGCUUUGAGUUAGUUGAUUUGGUUUUAUCUCCAUUUUAUAAAUGAGAAAACUGAAGUUGAUCAAGGUAAAACCUUGCCCAAAUCCACUGAACCAGAGGGUUAAACCUCAGGUUUAUCUGAUUUAUAAACUAUUUUCUUUCCCUUACAUAAUGCAACCAUUCAUUCCAGUGAUUUUAGG